Molecule: ribosomal RNA, 230 nt
Filed under: uncultured bacterium
Lineage: Bacteria
Description: partial 16S ribosomal RNA
Rfam family: Bacterial small subunit ribosomal RNA
Source: RNAcentral
GUAAGCGUGCGCAGGCGGUUUUGUAAGACUGUCGUGAAAUCCCGGGCUCAACCUGGGAAUGGCGAUGGUGACUGCAAGGCUAGAGUUUGGCAGAGGGGGGUAGAAUUCCACGUGUAGCAGUGAAAUGCGUAGAUAUGUGGAGGAACACCGAUGGCGAAGGCAGCCCCCUGGGUCAAAACUGACGCUCAUGCACGAAAGCGUGGGGAGCAAACAGGAUUAGAUACCCCAGU